UACGGGGGGGGCGAGCGUUGUUCGGAAUUACUGGGCGUAAAGGGCUCGUAGGUGGCCAACUAAGUCGGACGUGAAAUCCCUCGGCUUAACCGGGGAACUGCGUCCGAUACUGGAUGGCUUGAGUUUGGGAGAGGGAUGCGGAAUUCCAGGUGUAGCGGUGAAAUGCGUAGAUAUCUGGAGGAACACCGGUGGCGAAGGCGGCAUCCUGGACCAACACUGACACUGAGGAGCGAAAGCCAGGGGAGCAAACGGG
RNAcentral lists this ribosomal RNA (253 nucleotides) under uncultured bacterium. RNAcentral's name for it is "partial 16S ribosomal RNA". It matches the Rfam family "Bacterial small subunit ribosomal RNA", at positions 524 to 776 of the family's 1533-position model. The record is from RNAcentral.